RNAcentral lists this ribosomal RNA (466 nucleotides) under uncultured bacterium. Its description in RNAcentral is "partial 16S ribosomal RNA". It matches the Rfam family "Bacterial small subunit ribosomal RNA", at positions 29 to 507 of the family's 1533-position model. The record is from RNAcentral.
AUGAACGCUGGCGGCGUGCUUAACACAUGCAAGUCGAACGGUGAAGCAGAGCUUGCUCUGUGGAUCAGUGGCGAACGGGUGAGUAACACGUGAGCAACCUGCCCCUGACUCUGGGAUAAGCGCUGGAAACGGCGUCUAAUACUGGAUAUGAGCUGCGACCGCAUGGUCAGCGGUUGGAAAGAUUUUUCGGUCUGGGAUGGGCUCACGGCCUUUCAGCUUGUUGGUGAGGUAAUGGCUCACCAAGGCGUCGACGGGUAGCCGGCCUGAGAGGGUGACCGGCCACACUGGGACUGAGACACGGCCCAGACUCCUACGGGAGGCAGCAGUGGGGAAUAUUGCACAAUGGGCGAAAGCCUGAUGCAGCAACGCCGCGUGAGGGAUGACGGCCUUCGGGUUGUAAACCUCUUUUAGCAGGGAAGAAGCGAAAGUGACGGUACCUGCAGAAAAAGCGCCGGCUAACUACGUG